Gavialis gangeticus (Gharial) is the source of this 848-nucleotide long non-coding RNA. RefSeq lists it as uncharacterized. The record is from RefSeq and is a predicted model, not a curated record. Lineage: Eukaryota; Metazoa; Chordata; Crocodylia; Gavialidae. The transcript is spliced from 2 exons.
UCAGGCCCAUAAUAUAAAAAGCACUUAUUUAAGAGACAUACCAUCGGUCCUGUCGUUGGGUCCUUGCCAGUUCUGUGCUCCUGCACAAGCUUUUGGGUUCACUUUCCACUGCUCCUCCUCACUGCUUACAUGCUCCUUUAAUACUGUUAAGGGAGCCAAGCAGACUAGGGGAAGCAGUCAACAUUCAGCAAGACAGCCAGUAAGUUUAUCAGGUGAAAAUCUGUUACUUUAUCCAUGUCAUUAGAACCAUUAAUAAAGUAUACUAGUGACAGAUGCUUGACACUGCAGCUAGAAUUCAAGAAUCAAGCCGAAACUUGUUAUUUCCUGGGGGAACAUAACAGCACACAGAUCUAACACAGGGAUCCCCGCAUCACUGCAACAAUGUGCCAAAAGGGAUAUUGGAAUUGCCAUGUGAAACAACAAUAUCAAUCAAGAACAGCUUUUCCAGGUAGAAACUAAAUGAAGUACAUUUCACAGAAGGAGGCAUAUUCUUGUUUAUGACUCUUCCAAAAAUAUUUUAUAAUGUCUAGUUGCUACAUGAAUUCUGUUACUAUUUUGCUCUGCACAAGCUUAAAGUAAGAGGUCAAAAAACAAUUCUUCAGCUCUAGAAAGUCAAGAGGUUGGUUUUUCCAUCAGAAACAGAAGACUACAUGUUAGAGAAAAAUGUCAUACAAUGGAAGAAAAUGCAGUUAGAUUAAAUUGUAAAAGCAGAUUGAAAUACCUCCGUAAUAGAAAAGGAAUUGGACAAGGUUGAAGAAUAGAUGUCUUUUGUGCAAUGCUGAAAAUAAACCACCAUUUUUAUUAUGAUUUUGGAAUUAGUGCUUGGGUAAGAGACAAACAUUAAAAAA